CUUGCAAACCAAAGCUGGCGACCGGCGCACGGGUGAGUAACACGUAUCCAACCUGCCUCAUACUCGGGGAUAGCCUUUCGAAAGAAAGAUUAAUAUCCGAUAGUAUAUUAAAACCGCAUGGUUUUACUAUUAAAGAAUUUCGGUUAUCGAUGGGGAUGCGUUCCAUUAGUUUGUUGGCGGGGUAACGGCCCACCAAGACUACGAUGGAUAGGGGUUCUGAGAGGAAGGUCCCCCACAUUGGAACUGAGACACGGUCCAA
Molecule: ribosomal RNA, 259 nt
Filed under: uncultured bacterium
Lineage: Bacteria
Description: partial 16S ribosomal RNA
Rfam family: Bacterial small subunit ribosomal RNA
Source: RNAcentral